GAACGAGUAGAGCGGCGGACGGGUGAGUAACGCGUGGGAAAUUGCCCAGUAGUGGGGGACAACAUUCGGAAACGGAUGCUAAUACCGCAUACGCCCUACGGGGGAAAGCAGGGGAUCUUCGGACCUUGUGCUAUUGGAUAUGCCCGCGUCGGAUUAGCUAGUUGGUGAGGUAAUGGCUCACCAAGGCAACGAUCCGUAGCUGGUCUGAGAGGAUGAUCAGCCACACUGGGACUGAGACACGGCCCAGACUCCUACGGGAGGCAGCAGUGGGGAAUAUUGGACAAUGGGCGCAAGCCUGAUCCAGCCAUGCCGCGUGUGUGAAGAAGGCUCUAGGGUUGUAAAGCACUUUCAGUAGGGAGGAAGGCCUUAAAGUUAAUACCUUUGAGGAUUGACGUUACCUACAGAAGAAGCACCGGCUAACUCCGUGCCAGCAGCCGCGGUAAUACGGAGGGUGCGAGCGUUAAUCGGAAUUACUGGGCGUAAAGCGCGCGUAGGCGGUUAGUUAAGCUGGAUGUGAAAGCCCCGGGCUCAACCUGGGAACUGCAUUCAGAACUGGCUGGCUAGAGUACGAGAGAGGGUAGUGGAAUUUCCUGUGUAGCGGUGAAAUGCGUAAUAUAGGAAGGAACAUCCGU
This 632-nucleotide ribosomal RNA is filed under the name Microbulbifer sp. N9mIS3. RNAcentral's name for it is "bacterial SSU rRNA". It matches the Rfam family "Bacterial small subunit ribosomal RNA", at positions 84 to 713 of the family's 1533-position model. The record is from RNAcentral. Lineage: Bacteria; Pseudomonadati; Pseudomonadota; Gammaproteobacteria; Cellvibrionales; Microbulbiferaceae.